ACAAUAGAUUGUCCAAUCGAUUGUAUUUGUCACAGGUGAGGUCAUUUUUCAAAUGAUACUUUGUCAAUCGAUUUGCCAAUCGAUUUCCUCAGCACUGGAGUGCCACUGUGACUCAUCCAAUCGAUUUACCAAUCGAUGUGUUACCAUCAGGUUUGAUUUGUGAAAUGUUCAAUCGAUUUACCAAUCGAUUACUCUCCAAAUCAGAGGCUACUGACUUGUGCAGUUU
RNAcentral lists this long non-coding RNA (226 nucleotides) under Cicer arietinum (chickpea). Its description in RNAcentral is "long non-coding RNA (CARI_LNC002426)". Lineage: Eukaryota; Viridiplantae; Streptophyta; Magnoliopsida; Fabales; Fabaceae. The record is from RNAcentral.